This 1476-nucleotide ribosomal RNA is filed under the name uncultured Bordetella sp. RNAcentral describes it as "partial 16S-23S ribosomal RNA intergenic spacer". It matches the Rfam family "Bacterial small subunit ribosomal RNA". Lineage: Bacteria; Pseudomonadati; Pseudomonadota; Betaproteobacteria; Burkholderiales; Alcaligenaceae. The record is from RNAcentral.
GUUUGAUUAUGGCUCAGAUUGAACGCUGGCGGGAUGCUUUACACAUGCAAGCCGAACGGCAGCCUGGACUUCGGUCACGGGUGGCGAGUGGCGAACAGGUGAGUAAUGUAUCGGAACGUGCUAGUAGCAGGGAUAACUACGCGAAAGCGUAGCUAAUACCGCAUACGCCCAUGUCGGGGAAAGCGGGGGACCUUCGAGCCUCACACUAACGAAACCGAUAUCGGAUUAGCUAGUUAGUGGGGUAACGGCUCGCAAAGGCGACGAUCCGUAGCUGGUUUGAGAGAACGACCAGCCACACUGGGACUGAACUGGCGGCCCAGACUCCUACGGAGGCAGCAGUGGGGAAUUUUGGACAAUGGGGGGAAACCCUGAUCCAGCCAUCCCGCGUGUGCGAUAGGCCUUCGGGUUGUAAUAAAAGAAAGGCACUUUUGGCAGGAAAAAAACGGCACGGGAUAAUACCCGUGCAACUGACGGCUUACUGCAGAAUAAGCACACCGGCUAACUACGUGCCAGCAGCCGCGGUAAUACGUAGGGUGCAAGCGUUAAUCAGACACUGGGCGUAAAGCGUGCGCAGGCGGUUCGGAAAGAUGUGAAAUCCCAGAGCUUGUAACUUUGGAACUGCAUUUUUAACUACCGAGCUAGAGAGAGUGUGUCAGAGGAGGUGGAGAUUCCAUGGUAGCGGUGAAAUGCACGUAGAUAUGCGGAGGUACACCGAUGGCAAGAAACAGCCUCCUGGGAUAACACUGACUCAUGCACAGCGUGAAACAAACAAGUUCUCGUGCCCUGGUAGUCCGCCUAAAACAGUGUCAGCUAUAUUAUUAAAAUUUCUUAAACAGCUUAUUAGCCUAUGCUGCUGUGGGGAUUAUUCACAUUUUCCCGCAGAAAAUACAGUCAUAAAAUUGAAACUCAAAGAAUAUCAAGACCACACAGAAAAGCGGUAGAUGAUGUAGGUAGACUGAUACAACACCAAAAAAGCCUACCGCCAACAUAUCUAAAUCAAAGAUUUAAGGAGUGCUCGCAGAGGCCGGAACACAGGUACUGCAUAGCUGUCGUAAAGCUCGUGUCGUGAGAUGUUGAGUUAAGUCCACAACGGCCGCAACCUUGUCAUUAGUUGCUACGAAAGACACUCUAAUGAGACUGCGCCGGUGACAAACCGGAGGAAGGUGGGGAUGACGUCGGAAGUCCUCAUGGCCAUAUAUUGAGACUGCCCGUCAUCCGCAAUGGUCGGAACGGUCAUAUUAACCGCGAAGAACCAAUCCCGAAGCGAUCGUAAUCCGGAUCGCAAUCUACGACUCAAGCUGCGUGAAGUCAGGAGGAAAUCGCUAGUAAUCGCGGAUCAGCGUGUCGCGUGAAUACGUUCCAGGUCUUGUACACACCGCCGUCACACCAUGGGAGUGGUUUUGCAGAGUAGUUAGCCUAACCGUGGAGGGCGAUUACGGUAGGAUUCAUGACUGGGGUGAAGUCAUGCUCGCGUCG